Molecule: ribosomal RNA, 789 nt
Filed under: Triticum aestivum (bread wheat)
Lineage: Eukaryota; Viridiplantae; Streptophyta; Magnoliopsida; Poales; Poaceae
Description: partial small subunit ribosomal RNA
Source: RNAcentral
AUGGCUCCGAUUUGUGGGAGCCAAGAGUUCUUGGAUGAUCUGACAAUCAAAGUCUCUCGCUCAGUUGUACUUGUUAUGUCAUUCGAAACCCGUGGGACUCACCGUCAAUUUAUGGAUAUGCCACCGAUGGAAGGAGAAGAGCGAGAUCGUUAUAUUCAACAAAACAUGCGAACUACCCAUUAUAAAUCAUGCACUGGUUUUAUCAUUGGAGCUAGUAAAAGAGUUAUCUUUAUAGCUGUCCAUCAUUCGCAAAUCAACACAGCUGCUUUUGAUACUUUCAGUGUUCGUUUCCAUGAUAAUAAUGAGAAGGCUGCUAAAAUCUUUAUCAAAAAAACAAAGUCAGUCACGAUAUUGUCAGUAGAACAGCCUGAUCACCCUUAUCAUCCAGUGCUCCGCAGUAGAAAGAGGAUUGGCAGGGACGAUGUCCUCAUUCUAUCAAAUGUGCACUUGGGUUGCUUGAAUUCGUACCAAAGUUCUGUUAUUAACCCAACAACUGAAGCUAUUGCCAAUCCUGCUGAUUCCGACAGCAUCGUGCCGAGAAGUGGGAAGUGGUUUACUUUUGGUUGUACAACCAAAAUUGAAGAGCUACUGGGAGCACCCGUAUUUGACUUCAGUGGUCUGUUUGUUGGUUCAGUAGACACCAAUCAUCCAAGAAUAUGGAGUGAUGAAGUUAAUUGUUUUUCUGAUCUGAUUUAUGCACGUCAUGCCCGGUAUUUUUUCAGGAAGACAAGGAGGAAAAUAGAGAAGAAAUUGAUGAAAGAGCGAAAAAAGAAGAAGAUGGGAGGUUAG